RNAcentral lists this ribosomal RNA (374 nucleotides) under uncultured organism. RNAcentral's name for it is "partial 16S ribosomal RNA". It matches the Rfam family "Bacterial small subunit ribosomal RNA", at positions 527 to 896 of the family's 1533-position model. The record is from RNAcentral.
GUAGGUGGCAAGCGUUGUCCGGAAUUAUUGGGCGUAAAGCGCGCGCAGGCGGUCCUUUAAGUCUGAUGUGAAAGCCCACGGCUCAACCGUGGAGGGUCAUUGGAAACUGGGGGACUUGAGUACAGAAGAGGAAAGCGGAAUUCCAAGUGUAGCGGUGAAAUGCGUAGAGAUUUGGAGGAACACCAGUGGCGAAGGCGGCUUUCUGGUCUGUAACUGACGCUGAGGCGCGAAAGCGUGGGGAGCAAACAGGAUUAGAUACCCUGGUAGUCCACGCCGUAAACGAUGAGUGCUAAGUGUUAGGGGGUUUCCCGCCCCCCUUAGUGCUGCAGCUAACACAUUAAGCACUCCGCCUGGGGAGUACGGCCGCAAGGCUG